UUAGUCAGUCUAAGCUUUUUUGAUACUGAUUCUAGUCUAUUUAAACAUAUUUCAGUCCAAUCUGUUGUUUUACACUGUUCGCUGUCGAGUCAGCAGGUAAGGUUUAAGUGUCCAAGCAGUGAACAGCGUAGACCAUGGGUCUACACUGGUCCCAAAGAUCUGUACAAUUCUGACAGCCUCUAAGAGUUAAAUGGUUUAGUCAUUGAUUCUAGUCAUUUAUCAAUCGAAGUAUUGAUUUAUAUAUGUUUUGUGGAGAUUCUUGCCUGUUCUUGUUGUAACAGCAUUUUAUUUUAUAAUAGUUGUCAUGUACAUUUAAUUGUAAUACAACUUGAUAUUAUUACACAGUCUAUCUUAAAAUAGUGUGCAAUAAUAUCAUGUUUUAUUAUUAGAAAAUGUAUGCAUUUUGAAAGUUUUGUUUAAAACAUUUGCCAAAAAUAAAAUGUCUAAAUGUUCUUUGAUUCACUCUUUCACUGGGUUAUAUUUGCAAAGUCUAAAGAUGAACUGCUUCCCUGGUGAACAUACUGACAAUGCUCAAAAUUGCACAUAAUGUUGCCACCGCUGGGAGUCGAACCCAUGGCUUGCCCUUCAACAGGAUGCAUUCUAAAACUGAAAUACAUGUACCAUGGCUAAAAAUAACUGAUAAACAAUGCUGUUUCUUUGUCAAGCUUCACCUAUAUAUAUAUAGAUGUGAAAAAAUCACUUAGUCUUGAUUUAUUACAAUGAUGAUGUAUUUUAUGUUUUGAUGGCUGUCAAGCUAGCAGUUUUAGCUUAUAAGUGGCAGAAAGAUUGAAUCUAUAUAUCACACUGAAUUCUUAUUAAAAUAAUUCACCUGAAAUAAACUUGAAUAUUGGAUCAUUCUGACAUUUAAAAAAAAAAAAAAAUCCCUAUCUACCGACCCUUUUUUUUUCAGCAUGUUACAGGAAACAGACAUAUAUUUUUUUUAGGCCUAAACAAAAUGAACAAGCUUGCGGUGAUGUCACUGCUAAAAAUAAUCCAUUAUUUUGAUGAAUUUUACAUGUACGUUGGGUGAAAUUUAGUAGCUUUAAAUGUCACAAAGUGUCCAGAUAUUUCUUCUGGUUAUUAAAAUGGAAUAUUAGUUAGCUGCAGGUGAAAUAUCUAGAACCACAGAAAAUGAAGUUAGAUGUUUAAUUUACAGAGGUUAAUAGUGAUUCAGUGGCUGAAAGUAUAUAAUUGGUAAAGAAGAAAUAACAUAUAUUAUUAGGAGGGAAUAGCUAGCAAAUGUCAAGGCAUGUGGUCUGGAAUGUUAUAAUAUUAUCCUGAAUCUGAAUUUGACAGUAGUUUGGUUAAUUAGUAAGCCCUCACUGGUGGGUGGUGGGGGGAUAGUACUCAGUUUCAGUAUCAUAUUAUAGUACAUUUAUGUUAAGGUUCCCUGUUACAAAAUAAACAUGCACCAGAAGACUAGAAUGUUUGGUUAAAAAGGCUUAAAUUCAUCCCACAAGGGGCGUUGCCCCCUUGACCCUAACUGGGGGAGGACAUCCAGAUCCCCCGCCUACUUUUAGGAUAUUCCCUGCUACUUGAAUUAAUUUCUACACCCCUGACGAUUGUAUAACGAGGUCUUUCUCGAAGCUUUGUCGGAGGAGGCCGAGUUCUUACGAUUGUAACGAGUUGUUCCCCUUCGCAUAAUUGUUGUCAGUGUCAGUCAACUUUCGUUUUAUUGGAAAGGUGUACGGAAAACCUUUGACUGUUGAUAAAUUCCGUCCCUCGGCUGGAGCACGGACUUCGAUGAUGAAGCUGUUGAACAGGACAAGAAGAAUAGAGAAAUUCUAAAGGCUCCUAAGGCUCGUGAUGUGGUCAGGUGUGCCGAAUGCCAUAAACCCAGGGUUGUGCACAGUCCAAGUAAAACAGACAGAGAACAGGAUGCUUUACUUCGAAGGAUGAAAGAGGAGAAUCUGUACGUCUGUGGUGAUCCCAUGGCAGAUGAUUCAGGUCUGGUUACACUGAGGGCGAGUAACUGCACGUCAGAUGUUGAAAUUGCGUAUUACAGUUCAGGUUUCAGCAAAGUUGUGCCACCAGUAUGUUGUUAUUGUGGAACUGAAGAUGAACUAUUGGAUGACAAUUAUGUCUACAUUCAGGAUAUGUACACAAAAUUCUCCAAAGUGCGUCCACUAUGUAAAUUAUGCCAUGGAAAUGGCCGUGUUGCAAAAACUUGGGGAAAGAAAUUCAUUAAGAAGAGAAGGAUGUAAAAACAUUUAACUCAACUGCAGUGUAAUUAAUUACUUCACAUUCUUGAUUGUGUACAACAGUUAAAUUUAAUUCUGACAGAUUGUAUUGUUAUUGUCAUUGCUUAGUUUUUAGUCAUCUGUUGAUACAAUGUUUUACAUUUGUGAGCAUAUCAUGCUCUGUGGCAUUCAUUUUAUGUAUAAUGGUUCUAGUCAUGAGGCUCUAGUCAAUGAUUAAGUUUUGAUGUUGAACAGGAUUAUUAUGUUUAGGUUUAUUGAAAAUCUAGUCUCCUUAGUUUUAUAAAUGUUUGGUUUUAAGAGGUGAAACAUUUUACAAACUUGUCAAGUAUUAAAACAAUAGAUCAUUGAUACAUGUAUAUGUUUAGCUCAAACAUUUUAGUGACUUAAAAAUGUGCAGCUCAUUCAAGUUCUAUUUUUUCCAGGAGAGUCUGGAUUUUUAUUAUCUCAAUUUUGGUGAUUUCAUUUCAAAUUUUGUGGAUUUUAAACUUAAAUACUGGAAUUUAAGAUGAUUUUCUUUCAAAGUUUGUCAUUAAUGUUCUAUAUUUUCCAGGAGCCUAUCGAUUUGUAUGAUUCCAAUUUUGGUGAUUUUAUUUAAAUCUUUUUGGUUUUAGACUAAAAUACUGGAAUUUCAGAUGAUUUUCUUACAAAGAGUGUUUAUUGUUUAACUAAUCUCCUGGUGCCAAUUUCUCAAAACUACAUAAGUCUGUUAUAACAGGAUCAAGCUAUUCUGACUAUAUUUAUUCAUCUAUAUUUUGUGUAAUAUUUAGGUCUUUAAAAGUUUUUAUACAGUUUAUAGAAGUUAUAUGUCUGAUAAUAAGGAAACACUAAGUUUUAUUCAAUAAUUAAUAUUGCUGUACAAAAUAAGCUUCUUAAGCCUGUUAAGCUUAAGUUGUUUCGAGAAAUUGGGGUCAGAUUUUUAAAGGCAGAUUUCCUUGAAAUGCAUUUUAAAAAACUUAGCAUAUAUGGUGAUUGGGCAACUUUCAUUCACCUUUUUUAAGAAAAUGUGCACAUAUUUGGGUUAUGUUUGGAGAAUUGGCAUAAAUUGGAUGAUCAGAUUGUUUGAAUAAAAUGUUUUUAUUCUAAAAUGUCAAUUUUGUUACUUGCAAGUCAGCAUUUAUUAUACUGCAUUCAAUCAUAAAGAUGGAACGAUUAAAGAAAAUUGAUCGAACAAAAUGUACAUUGACUUGCUUUAAUAGUUGAACAUCAAAACUUACAUGAGCUUUUUUAUGUUCAUGUGGCAUUUGUACUAUGUUUAGGUGCAAAAAUAUAUUUUUUUUACCAGAUCGCCUGUCGCUCGCUCCAAUUAUGAAGGAAAACUAAAAAAAAAAAUUUUUUUUUUCGCUUGCUCGCUUCAUUUUUUUUCAGAAAAUUUCCGAUGACCUAGAAAUCAAUUUGGUAUGGCCUAAAGGGUAUUCAUGAUGAUGAAAACAAAUGGUUGAGUUUUGUAUGUUGGUCGACUGUAAAAAACUGACUAGCAUCAGGAAUUUUUAAUGUAUAUUAUAUAUAAUAUAGCAUUGGUGAUUAAUUCCUUAUAAUCAUUAUACCGAACAAUUUAUAACGUUUAUAUUGCAAACCGAGACGUUGGCGUUUUGAUCAAUAUAAAGAGGUUGUCGAUGUGAUUAAUACGUUACGGGCUUGAGCUCUACAAACCUCGUAGCUUUAAGUGUUGACCAAUGUCCAUUAAAUUGACCAAACAUCACGAACAAGCAUAAUUUUCUUCAUUUGGCCUAGCGACAAUGCCGGUUUAUGAGACUGCUGAAUCAUCCCAAUUAAUCAGAAAAGUAGUCCCAUGUAAACAAUUUGUUCUCAAUACUAGAUUUCAUGAACAUGGUAAAUAUAGUCAAUAAAGA
Molecule: long non-coding RNA, 4051 nt
Organism: Mya arenaria
Lineage: Eukaryota; Metazoa; Mollusca; Bivalvia; Myida; Myidae
Exons: 4
Source: RefSeq, a predicted model, not a curated record